UACGUAGGGGGCAAGCGUUGUCCGGAAUUAUUGGGCGUAAAGCGCGCGCAGGCGGCUGUUUAAGUCUCAUGUUUAAACCCAGGGCUCAACCUUGGGUCGCAUGGGAAACUGGGCAGCUUGAGUGUAGGAGAGGAAAGUGGAAUUCCACGUGUAGCGGUGAAAUGCGUAGAGAUGUGGAGGAACACCAGUGGCGAAGGCGACUCUCUGGUCUGUAACUGACGCUGAGGCGCGAAAGCGUGGGGAGCAAACAGG
RNAcentral lists this ribosomal RNA (252 nucleotides) under uncultured bacterium. RNAcentral's name for it is "partial 16S ribosomal RNA". It matches the Rfam family "Bacterial small subunit ribosomal RNA", at positions 524 to 776 of the family's 1533-position model. The record is from RNAcentral.